Molecule: ribosomal RNA, 389 nt
Filed under: uncultured bacterium
Lineage: Bacteria
Description: bacterial SSU rRNA
Rfam family: Bacterial small subunit ribosomal RNA
Source: RNAcentral
ACGAUAAUGACGGUACCACAGGAGGAAGCCACGACUAACUACGUGCCAGCAGUCGCGGUAAUACGUAGGGGGCGAGCGUUAUCCGGAAUUAUUGGGUGUAAAGGGUGCGUAGGCGGGGUCGUAAAGUCAGAUGUGAAAUGCGGAGGCUCAACCUCCGAACUGCAUUUGAAACUUACGAUCUUGAGUGGAGUAGAGGCAAGCGGAAUUCCUGGUGUAGCGGUGAAAUGCAUAGAUAUCUGGAGGAACACCAGUGGCGAAGGCGGCUUGCUGGGCUUUUACUGACGCUGAGGCUCGAAAGUGUGGGUAGCAAACAGGAUUAGAUACCCUGGUAGUCCACACUGUAAACGAUGAUUACUAGGUGUAUGCGGGCUGAACCGGUCUGUGCCGCA